RNAcentral lists this ribosomal RNA (397 nucleotides) under uncultured bacterium. RNAcentral's name for it is "partial 16S ribosomal RNA". It matches the Rfam family "Bacterial small subunit ribosomal RNA", at positions 523 to 918 of the family's 1533-position model. The record is from RNAcentral.
AUACGUAGGGGGCGAGCGUUGUCCGGAAUGAUUGGGCGUAAAGGGCGCGUAGGCGGCCUGUUAAGUCUGGAGUGAAAGUCCUGUUUUCAAGAUGGGAAUUGCUUUGGAUACUGAUGGGCUUGAGUGCAGGAGAGGUUAUCGGAAUUCCCGGUGUAGCGGUGAAAUGCGUAGAGAUCGGGAGGAACACCAGUGGCGAAGGCGGGUAACUGGACUGCAACUGACGCUGAGGCGCGAAAGUGUGGGGAGCAAACAGGAUUAGAUACCCUGGUAGUCCACACUGUAAACGAUGAAUGCUAGGUGUAAGAGGUAUCGACCCCUUUUAUGCCGGAGUUAACACAAUAAGCAUUCCGCCUGGGGAGUACGGCCGCAAGGUUGAAACUCAAAUGAAUUGGCGGGG